Long non-coding RNA from Zingiber officinale, 249 nucleotides. RefSeq lists it as uncharacterized. The record is from RefSeq and is a predicted model, not a curated record. NCBI's taxonomy places the organism in Eukaryota, Viridiplantae, Streptophyta, Magnoliopsida, Zingiberales, Zingiberaceae. The transcript has 3 exons.
GCACUUUGUGGGAUUUUGCCGUCUCUACAACCAAUUAUUGUUUACUUCUCAGACUGUUUCCAGUGGUUGUCACAGGCUGUUCCUAAGUCAAAUCGAAAAGAGUUUAUCAAGAAGGUGGAAGAAAUGCUUCACCUAGUACCAGGCCCUGUUGUUUUCAUCUGUGGUCAAAGCAUAAUGGAAUCAGGGUCUAAGGAGAAAGAAAAGCUGGCGACAAUGUUGCUCCCUGGUCUUGGUCGCAUUGCUCAGUUG